Molecule: ribosomal RNA, 1897 nt
Filed under: Hepialus humuli
Lineage: Eukaryota; Metazoa; Arthropoda; Insecta; Lepidoptera; Hepialidae
Also listed under: 1 other name
Description: SSU rRNA
Rfam family: Eukaryotic small subunit ribosomal RNA
Source: RNAcentral
CCCUGGUUGAUCCUGCCAGUAGUUAUAUGCUUGUCUCAAAGACUAAGCCAUGCAUGUCUCAGUGCAAGCCGUAUUAAGGCGAUACCGCGAAUGGCUCAAUAUAUCAGUUUUGGUUCCUUAGAUCUUACUCAGUUACUUGGAUAACUGUGGCAAUUCUAGAGCUAAUACAUGCAAUCAGAGCUCCGACCAGUGAUGGGAAGAGUGCUUUUAUUAGAUCAAAACCAAUCGACGGAGGCGGCCUCGGUCGCCGAAGUCGUUUCUUUUGAUGAGUCUGGAUAACUUUUGCCGAUCGCACGGUCCAGUACCGGCGACGCAUCUUUCAAAUGUCUGCCUUAUCAACUUUCGAUGGUAGUUUCUGCGACUACCAUGGUUGUCACGGGUAACGGGGAAUCAGGGUUCGAUUCCGGAGAGGGAGCCUGAGAAACGGCUACCACAUCCAAGGAAGGCAGCAGGCGCGCAAAUUACCCACUCCCGGCACGGGGAGGUAGUGACGAAAAAUAACGAUACGGGACUCUUUCGAGGCCUCGUAAUCGGAAUGAGAACACUUUAAAUAUUUUAACGAGUAUCAAUUGGAGGGCAAGUCUGGUGCCAGCAGCCGCGGUAAUUCCAGCUCCAAUAGCGUAUACUAAAAUUGUUGCGGUUAAAAAGCUCGUAGUUGCAUUUGUGCGCCGCGCUGUCGGUUCACCGCGUCAGCGGUGAGACUGACACGUUUGCGGAGCAUAUCGUCGGUGAGCUUUCGGUAAAACGGAAGUUCAAUAUCAAAAAUCCUAUCGCGGUGCUCUUCGUUGAGUGUCGAGGUGGGCCGACAAUUUUACUUUGAACAAAUUAGAGUGCUUAAAGCGGGCUCAAAAUGCUGCUUGAAUAUUGAGUGCAUGGAAUAAUGGAAUACGACCUCGGUUCUAUUUUGUUGGUUUUCAGAACUCCGAGGUAAUGAUUAAUAGGGAUAACUGGGGGCAUUCGUAUUGCGACGUUAGAGGUGAAAUUCUUGGAUCGUCGCAAGACGAACAUCAGCGAAGGCAUUUGCCAAAGGUGUUUUCAUCAAUCAAGAACGAAAGUCAGAGGUUCGAAGGCGAUUAGAUACCGCCCUAGUUCUGACCAUAAAUAUGUCGAUUAGCGAUCCGCCGAUGUUACUACAAUGGCUCGGCGGGCGGCUUCCGGGAAACCAAAAUUUUUGGACUCCGGGGGGAGUAUGGUUGCAAAGCUGAAACUUAAAGGAAUUGACGGAAGGGCACCACCAGGAGUGGAGCCUGCGGCUUAAUUUGACUCAACACGGGAAAUCUCACCAGGCCCGGACACCGGAAGGAUUGACAGAUUAACAGCUCUUUCUUGAUUCGGUGGGUGGUGGUGCAUGGCCGUUCUUAGUUGGUGGAGCGAUUUGUCUGGUUAAUUCCGGUAACGAACGAGACUCUAGCCUGCUAAAUAGGCGUCGUCAUUUCGGUGCGCGCGACUCGUUCGCGCAACUCACUGGCGGCGUAAUUAAAUUCUUCUUAGAGGGACCGGCGGUUUCGAGCCGCACGAGAUUGAGCAAUAACAGGUCUGUGAUGCCCUUAGAUGUCCUGGGCCGCACGCGCGCUACACUGAAGGAAUCAGCAUGUUCUCCCUGGCCUAGAGGCCCGGGCAACCCGCUGAAACUCCUUCGUGCUGGGGAUUGGGGUUUGCAAUUAUCCCCCAUAAACGAGGAAUUCCUAGUAAGCGCGAGUCAUAAGCUCGCGUUGAUUACGUCCCUGCCCUUUGUACACACCGCCCGUCGCUACUACCGAUUGAAUGAUUUAGUGAGGUCUUCGGACCGACACGCGGUGGCUUCGCGGCCGUCGGCGUUGCUGGGAAGUUGACCAAACUUGAUCAUUUAGAGGAAGUAAAAGUCGUAACAAGGUUUCCGUAGGGGAACCUGCGGAAG